UGCCAGUGGCCCCGUGCAGACCUGCGGGGCCCUGACAGACGAGGACAUCGUCAGGCUGCGGCCCUGUGAGAAGAGGCGGGUACGUGUCACAGGUUCCUUGCUGAGGACGCUAGCAGUGCGGGGGGCAGAGAGAGCUGGACACACA
This is a microRNA precursor of Equus caballus (horse), 145 nucleotides long. Lineage: Eukaryota; Metazoa; Chordata; Mammalia; Perissodactyla; Equidae. The record is from Ensembl.